RNAcentral lists this non-coding RNA (21 nucleotides) under Caenorhabditis elegans. Lineage: Eukaryota; Metazoa; Nematoda; Chromadorea; Rhabditida; Rhabditidae. The record is from RNAcentral.
UACACGAAAUUUUAUACAAUU